RNAcentral lists this transfer RNA (67 nucleotides) under Orientallactaga sibirica (Mongolian five-toed jerboa). RNAcentral describes it as "Allactaga sibirica (Mongolian five-toed jerboa) tRNA-Pro". It matches the Rfam family "tRNA". Rfam says of the family: Transfer RNA (tRNA) molecules are approximately 80 nucleotides in length. Their secondary structure includes four short double-helical elements and three loops (D, anti-codon, and T loops). The record is from RNAcentral. Lineage: Eukaryota; Metazoa; Chordata; Mammalia; Rodentia; Dipodidae.
CAGGAAAUAGUUUAUUGAGAAUGCCAGCUUUGGGUGCUGGUGGUAGGAUUUUUAGUCCUUUUCUUGA